AACGAACGCUGGCGGCAGGCCUAACACAUGCAAGUCGAGCGCGCCUUCGGGUGAGCGGCGCACGGGUGCGUAACGCGUAUGCAACCUACCUCAUACAGGAGAAUAGCCCUUGGAAACGAGGAUUAAUACUCCAUGGUAUCAUUCUUUCGCAUGUUAGAAUGAUUAAAGAAUUUCGGUAUGAGAUGGGCAUGCGUCCCAUUAGCUUGUUGGUGAGGUAACGGCUCACCAAGGCAACGAUGGGUAGGGGGCCUGAGAGGGUGGUCCCCCACACUGGUACUGAGACACGGACCAGACUCCUACGGGAGGCAGCAGUGAGGAAUAUUGGUCAAUGGAGGAAACUCUGAACCAGCCAUGCCGCGUGAAGGAUGACGGCCCUAUGGGUUGUAAACUUCUUUUAUAUGGGAAGAAACUUAUCUACGUGUAGAUAACUGACGGUACCAUACGAAUAAGGAUCGGCUAACUCCG
RNAcentral lists this ribosomal RNA (465 nucleotides) under uncultured Cryomorphaceae bacterium. Its description in RNAcentral is "bacterial SSU rRNA". It matches the Rfam family "Bacterial small subunit ribosomal RNA", at positions 29 to 505 of the family's 1533-position model. Lineage: Bacteria; Pseudomonadati; Bacteroidota; Flavobacteriia; Flavobacteriales; Cryomorphaceae. The record is from RNAcentral.